Molecule: ribosomal RNA, 510 nt
Filed under: uncultured bacterium
Lineage: Bacteria
Description: bacterial SSU rRNA
Rfam family: Bacterial small subunit ribosomal RNA
Source: RNAcentral
AUCAUGGCUCAGGAUGAACGCUAGCGGCAGGCUUAACACAUGCAAGUCGAGGGGCAACGCGAGUAGCAAUACUUGGCGGCGACCGGCGCAAGGGUGCGUAACGCGUGAGCAACAUGCCCGUAUCAGGGGGGAUAAUCCAGGGAAACUUGGUCUAAUACCCCAUAGUAAUUUUGUAAGGCAUCUUAUAAGAUUUAAAGCUUUGGUGGAUACGGAUUGGCUCGCGUGACAUUAGCUGGAUGGUAAGGUAACGGCUUACCAUGGCUAUGAUGUCUAGGGGUUCUGAGAGGAAGGUCCCCCCACACUGGAACUGAGACACGGUCCAGACUCCUACGGGAGGCAGCAGUGAGGAAUAUUGGACAAUGGAUGGAAAUCUGAUCCAGCCAUGCCGCGUGAAGGAAAGAAGGUCCUAUGGAUUGUAGACUUCUUUUGUAUGGGAGCAAUAAGGCCUACGAGUAGGUUGAUGAGAGUACCAUACGAAUAAGCACCGGCUAACUCCGUGCCAGCCGCUGC